CAUAUGUGUUAUUUCAUAGUUUUGAUGUCUUCACUAUUAUUCUGCAAUGUAGAAAAUAGUACAAAUAAAGACAAACCCUGGAAUGAAUAGGUGUGUCCAAAAUUUUGACUGGUACUGUAUAUAUUACACAUAUAUAUGGAUUUCCUGCACUUACAUUGUGAUUUCUUUUCAUGUAAAUACGGAAAACGAACUAAAAUGUUGUGUGAUAAAGACUACAAAAGUGAGACAAGAAGAACCAUGACCUAGGAGAAACUGAAAUGAACUUUCAGUGUUUGUUCAAAAAGGUGUCCACUGCUACUCCACUGACUGACACAGAGCUAUACUCUACCAGCGGAGGUGCUGUGAGCGGCUGGAGGUCGUCAUGGCAACCCAGAGACAUGUACCCAGUGACAGUCUGGCUAGAACAUUCAGGUCCUGUGCCAGAAACCCUAGUGAGGUCAUCUCCACUAGACUGAGAGACAUGCGCC
Molecule: long non-coding RNA, 467 nt
Organism: Oncorhynchus gorbuscha (pink salmon)
Lineage: Eukaryota; Metazoa; Chordata; Actinopteri; Salmoniformes; Salmonidae
Exons: 3
Source: RefSeq, a predicted model, not a curated record